GACGAACGCUGGCGGCGUGCUUAACACAUGCAAGUCGAGCGGAGCGGCGAACGGGUGAGUAACGCGUGAGUAACUGCCCCCCUCUCUGGGAUAACAGUUGGAAACGGCUGCUAAUACCGGAUAGUGGGGGAUGACUCGCGUCCUAUCAGCUUGUUGGUGGGGUAGUGGCCUACCAAGGCGACGACGGGUAGCCGGCCUGAGAGGGCGACCGGCCACAUUGGGCUGGGAUACGGCCCAAACUCCUACGGGAGGCAGCAGUUGGGAAUAUUGCACAAUGGGGGAAACCCUGAUGCAGCAACGCGCGUGCGGGAUGACGGCCUUCGGGUUGUAAACCGCUUUCAGCCAUGACGCGGUACCUAAUCAGAAAGCCACGGCUAACUACGUGCCAGCCGCCGCGGUAAUAC
RNAcentral lists this ribosomal RNA (404 nucleotides) under uncultured bacterium. Its description in RNAcentral is "partial 16S ribosomal RNA". It matches the Rfam family "Bacterial small subunit ribosomal RNA", at positions 28 to 526 of the family's 1533-position model. The record is from RNAcentral.